RNAcentral lists this ribosomal RNA (571 nucleotides) under uncultured bacterium. Its description in RNAcentral is "partial 16S ribosomal RNA". It matches the Rfam family "Bacterial small subunit ribosomal RNA", at positions 355 to 920 of the family's 1533-position model. The record is from RNAcentral.
UGGGGAAUUUUGGACAAUGGGCGAAAGCCUGAUCCAGCAAUGCCGCGUGUGUGAAGAAGGCCUUCGGGUUGUAAAGCACUUUUGUCCGGAAAGAAAUCCUUGGCUCUAAUACAGUCGGGGGAUGACGGUACCGGAAGAAUAAGCACCGGCUAACUACGUGCCAGCAGCCGCGGUAAUACGUAGGGUGCAAGCGUUAAUCGGAAUUACUGGGCGUAAAGCGUGCGCAGGCGGUUUGCUAAGACCGAUGUGAAAUCCCCGGGCUCAACCUGGGAACUGCAUUGGUGACUGGCAGGCUAGAGUAUGGCAGAGGGGGGUAGAAUUCCACGUGUAGCAGUGAAAUGCGUAGAGAUGUGGAGGAAUACCGAUGGCGAAGGCAGCCCCCUGGGCCAAUACUGACGCUCAUGCACGAAAGCGUGGGGAGCAAACAGGAUUAGAUACCCUGGUAGUCCACGCCCUAAACGAUGUCAACUAGUUGUUGGGGAUUCAUUCCUUAGUAACGUAGCUAACGCGUGAAGUUGACCGCCUGGGGAGUACGGUCGCAAGAUUAAAACUCAAAUGAAUUGACGGGGUC